UGGGUGGAGUGUGAGGCGGGGAGGUCGCUCGACUCGCCGGCGCUGUGGCCUCCCGCGGAGCCGCUCAGACUUUCCCUGCCGGCACAUGGACCUGGCCCAACCCUCACAGCCAGUAGACGAGCUGGAGCUCUCGGUGCUCGAGCGGCAGCCAGAAGAGAACACGCCUCUCAAUGGUGCCGACAAGGUCUUCCCUUCUUUGGACGAGGAGGCCCCCCCGGCCGAGGCUAACAAGGAAAGCCCCUGGAGCUCCUGUAAUAAGAAUGUGGUUGGAAGGUGCAAACUGUGGAUGAUCAUCACCUCCAUUUUCCUAGGUCUCAUUAUAGUGAUCAUCAUAGGCUUAUGUCUUGCUGCAGUAACUUAUGUUGAUGAAGAUGAAAAUGAAAUACUUGAAUUAUCAUCAAACAAAACAUUCUUCGUCAUGCUGAAGAUUCCAGAGGAGUGUGUUGCUGAAGAGGAAUUGCCUCACCUGCUCACCGAAAGGCUCACAGAUGUGUACAGUACAUCGCCCUCUCUGAGUCGUUAUUUUACUUCAGUUGAAAUAGUGGACUUCAGUGGUGAAAAUGCCACAGUAACAUAUGACCUGCAAUUUGGGGUUCCAUCAGAUGAUGAAAAUUUUAUGAAGUAUAUGAUGAGUGAGGAGUUGGUGCUGGGCAUUUUGCUACAGGAUUUCCAUGAUCAGAAUAUACCUGGUUGUGAGAGUCUGGGGCUUGAUCCAACAUCCCUCUUGCUCUAUGAAUGAAGUGAUGGAGGCUGGUCUCUGUCUGAAAGCAGUGCUCUACCAAGUCCUGGAGAUGAAGAGAAUUCACUCUGUUUUGCAGAAAAGAUUCUGUGGAUUAAUACAGAAGCACCAGCAACAACCAGAGGGGUGGAGACUCCUUUCUCUCCCGAUUCUGCAGUCUGGCUCCAAGCCCAGUAAAACAGCUCCUGAGCACUGCUUCAGCUGGGUCCAGUCUUGACAAAGGCAGGAAGCCAGCUAGGGUGGGGGCGAUAGGGUCAGCGGGGCAGCUUCCUCUUCUGCGUGAAUAAGAUCAAGCCAAGUUUGGCUGGGGCGGCCUGGGUUCUCCUCUCUGUUCCAGCAAGAGCAGGCAGAGGCCAUCCCCUCCUCUUUCUCUGAGGCCCUCUCUGGCAGGACUUGGUAUCUGAAAGGGCUUGGACUUGAAGGAACAGCCUCUUCAUGUCUGGAGGCAGGAUUUGGUUUUGUUCUUCGCUUCUUCUUUGGAAAGCACCAAGAUGAAGUAGGACUGAAGCCGAAUCCUGAAGCACUGGUGGGAUUUGAAUAAGAAGAUUUGCCUUCCUUUACACAUGUUCGUGUCUUCUUAGGAUGAGGAUGAAGAUGAUACUAUCAAAUUCCUAAUCAGGAAAAAAGCUUUCUGCUGUGUUCCCAGCAAAGGAAAAAUGUUUCCUCACUCUCAAUUCUGGUAAUUUCCUUGGUUCCCUUGUAAUGAAGAACACGUAAGUGUUAUCCCCAGGAAAUCAAGGUACAAGUGUAUGGAAAUUUUACAAAUCAUUUUUUUCAGGUAUGGGUUAGGCAAUAUCAGUAUUUUACUAUAUUCUGAAUUUCUCCAAUUUACAGUAUAUUGCAAUUGUUUGCUCACUUGUCUAUAUUCUACACUAGAAUGUGAGCUUCACAAAGCUGGGGACCAUAUUGAUCUUGUUCAUCGUGGUAUGUAUUUCCAGUCUAUGACACAACAUUUGGCACACAUGUUUUGUAAAUGGGUUUUCAAAAAAUAUUUGAUGAAGAUAUGAAUACAGAAUGAAUAGCCAAGGACAGAACAACCCUGGUGCAGGAGGUCAGCAAAUCUACCACCUUGACUCCAACGACAUAGUUAAAUAACAGGACUUCUCUCUCUUAUAGCACAAAGGCUUAGAAUCUCUCUGCAGUCCUGCAUCUACAUUAAUGUAUAAGUAUCAUUCUGUACAUCUUUCUGAAUUUGAGGCAUAGUCAACUACCUACAUGGUUGAAUGUGAAAGCCCUUUAUAAAGUAGUAUCAGUUACAGUAUGUAAAAACGUUUGGAAAACACCAUCCAAAAAUAUCUCCCCCCAUGAGCUUUCCCAUGAAGUUUCAUCAGGAGGAGCAGUGGAGGAGAGGCUGACUGCAUCGUGACCUUGGCUGUGAUCACCUGCUUGGCUGAGUAUUCUGACAACCUCUAAGAUCUAUGCAUCAUCAAAGCCUUUGGGGCCCAGAGGCACAGCUGCAGCUCUUCCUCUUCUUUAGGUUACCUUCAGUGUGCUUCAGGCCGUUUGCUUACAUUAUCUGUUUUGUUGCUAAGGAAACAUCGUAAGAAAACUACUGAAUCACACCAAGUUAACAAACCAGAUUCACUGAGGAGAAAUGAAUGAGAUAAGAGGAGGGGGAUGAUUUUGAGAGAUAUUCUCUGAACUCCUGAGGCCACAGUUUUUAAAUCUAUAAAAGAGGAUGUAUAUACUGCUUACACAUGGAGUUAUAAGAAUAAGCUGAGGUUAAAUAUGGGCAAAAACGAUCUGUAAGCUGGCUGUUUCUCCUACUUGACUUUUCUGCAGUUUAUUCUUGCAUUUCAACAUGGUGGUUUUGGUUUGGGAUGGGUUCAGAUAGCCUCCAAGAAGCAAGCUAGACAAAUCUCUAUACCCUUAGGCUACGUGUCAGGAAUUUGAGGUAUCUGUCUCUUUCACAAUGCCUUCUCUGGCUCUCUGGUCUACCCAACCUCUCCCUUGUUAUAAUGCCAUGGCCCUUCUGAUUUAUUUCAUCAUUUGAACUGUAUGCCUUAAAAUGUGCCCAAUGAUACCCCUGAAAAUAUGUAAUUCUCAACUUGAACUGAAAAAAUUCACCCUGUUGAAAGGAAUCUCUGGGUCUCCAGCCCCUAACGCGGGCAUUGGUGUUAAAAAAUAACAACAGUGCUUGUUUUUUAAUUGCUCCUCUUUCAAAAUCUCCUCCUGAAACCAUGUGAAAAGCACAGAUAACUUUACAGGCCACAGAAAAACUGACCUUGUCAGCCCUUAGGAUUCUUGGAUUCUGGAACAUUAGUUCCAUAUUUUAAUUAUUCCUUUCCUUAGAGAGAAUUCUUUAGGGCUGGACAUUUGAAAGGUCUGUUCAAAAAGAAUUAAUGAGGUGGUCUUUGUUUAACAACCUCAGGGCAAUCACAAUGGUGUCUCCACAAACUUUCUAAAAAUUGUCGUAACAUGGGGCAUGUGGUCACUUCAGAAAUAGACACCUAUAGCUUAAAAUAAAAUGGCUAGGGUGGAGGUUGAGCACAAAGGUACCUGAGAUAGACAAACAAAAUGACAACAGGAAAUAAGACCUUUUAUUUUAUAACAGGGCAUAACAGGGACUAGCAGGGUCUUAGUUCCUGUUGCUAGGAGUUACAUUAGGCUUCUAGCAAAGUAGCAUAUCUCCUGUCCAAAGUUUUCAAGCAUUUUAUCUUUUGUCCUGUCUUCACAUUUGCUACUAUUGCAACUGCUACUGGUCUAAACAGGGCCCUCUCUCACUGGGAUGUGAAGUCCAGGGCUUGACAUACUUCGUUCUCCUUGGGCAAGGUCUAGGGGGUGUUUGGUUGACUUUGCUCUCACCUGGAUGUUCUCUGUUUGGGGCUUUGCAUUCUCACAUUCCAAGGCAUCUCUUGAGUGUUCUGCUGCCGCCUGAAACUCAACAUAUCAGAAACAGGCUAAGUAUUUCCUAAACAGGCCUGUCACUUCUUUUCAUAAUUUUUCCGACUUUCCUCAUUUCUACUAUUUGUGUGUAACUCAGAAAUUGACUGGUUGCCCUCACACAUGUUAAUACUGUUUCCUCAAGCACAUGUCGCAAGCUACCUUUGAUCUGACAUGCUCUCCAUUGCCACAGCAACAGCCCACUGAUGUUCUCCAACCUCCAUGAACAAGUGAUCCUAAAUCAUCUGAUCCCAGAUAUCCAGGGAUCCUCGUCAUGACCCUUGAGAGUAUCAGUGUCCAGAGAGAGGCCUGAGGUCCUCAGCUACCAUCUCUUUGGUGCAGUUCCAGGAGCUAUGCACAAGUAAUGGGGAAAGGUACUGGCUUUGUCUUGUGUAAAUCACACCAUCUUUCACAGAAAGCAUGGAGGCCCAGAACAAGGGACAGAAGGAGAAGAAAAGGAUUGAAUAAAGAAAAUAAAUUGGUUCAUUGUUUGGGUUAGAUUUCUGUAUACCCAUCUUACCACUUGUUGGGAAUUGGGAGUAUGAGGAUAAAGAAACUAACACUUAAACACUACUUACUAUAUGCCAAUCAUUUUGUGUGUUAUAUUUCAUUUAAUCCCAGAAUAAAUCCAUAAGAUAGA
This is an RNA transcript of Pan troglodytes (chimpanzee), 4262 nucleotides long. It is a transcript of the gene named chromosome 3 C3orf52 homolog, with no coding region annotated. The transcript has 9 exons. The record is from RefSeq and is a predicted model, not a curated record. NCBI's taxonomy places the organism in Eukaryota, Metazoa, Chordata, Mammalia, Primates, Hominidae.